GGUCCAAAAGUUUUCGGCAACCUUACAUCUUUAAGAUGUAUUGAUUUGGGUAAUAACUUAAUAACUAUCAUUGUCGAGACAUCAUUUCCGACAUGUUUAUUGAAAAAAUUAGAAAAAAUAAGUUUAGCCUUCAAUCGCUUUUCCUGUAUUUGUGAGCAAAUGUGGUUUUUGAAUUGGCUGCGUCAGACGAAUAUCAGCGUUGUAAGUUAUCCCGAGAAAUACUAUUGUACCCAGCCAAGUAACCUUAAUCAUGUGUUACUUAAAUAUUACAAACCUACUGUUGCAUCGUGUACUCCUUGGGAUCAUCCAGUUUCUUUGUUAUAAAACUUGUAAAUUUUCAUUUAAGCAGCCAUAUAAUGGUUUACUUUUAUAAAUUGUCACUUGGAUUGUGAGUUGUCUCAUUGGCACUCAUAUCACAUCUUCCAAUAUCUAUAUAAAUCAAUCUGCAAGACAUUAAACAUUGCAAAUGAUAUAAAUAGAAGAAGACGUGGAACUAUAUACGCAGAAAAGAUAAUAACGUAGCAAAUUAAAAGUCAUUUUAAGUUUAACAGACACCUACGCUUUAAGCAGAAAUUAUUGUUUCGUUGUAUGCUGCUGCUGAUUUGGAUCAAUCUCUAUGCAAUUUACCUGGGUAACGAUUAGGAAAACGUUUUGUGUUCUUUCCUUUUUGCCUUUCCUUGAUUUCAGCCUCAAUUUAAAAAUAUUGGUUAAAAGAAAAGUACACGUUAAUUUCAGCUUUU
Molecule: long non-coding RNA, 740 nt
Filed under: Mytilus galloprovincialis (Mediterranean mussel)
Lineage: Eukaryota; Metazoa; Mollusca; Bivalvia; Mytilida; Mytilidae
Source: RNAcentral